Molecule: transfer RNA, 75 nt
Filed under: Aliikangiella marina
Lineage: Bacteria; Pseudomonadati; Pseudomonadota; Gammaproteobacteria; Oceanospirillales; Pleioneaceae
Description: tRNA-Gln
Rfam family: tRNA
About the family: Transfer RNA (tRNA) molecules are approximately 80 nucleotides in length. Their secondary structure includes four short double-helical elements and three loops (D, anti-codon, and T loops).
Source: RNAcentral
AGCUCCGUAGUGUAACCGAAAACACAUGAGACUUUGACUCUCGUAUUGCUAGUUUGAGUCUAGCCGGAGCUUCCA